AGUGAGUUAGUAGUUUGCUGAAUCACUGAAGGGUGUAAUGAUUUACACCAGCAUGCUUGCCAUGUGGGAUCCUUCAGUCAGAGGAACACUCACUUUUUU
This 99-nucleotide non-coding RNA is filed under the name unclassified sequences. RNAcentral describes it as "DUF3800-VII RNA". It matches the Rfam family "DUF3800-VII RNA". The record is from Rfam by way of RNAcentral.